AAAGACCACAAUUUUACACUCUUUAUAUCCAACGUUUGAUCGUCCGUCUUAUUUAAAAAUAAUUAUGAUUAAUAUUUUUAUUGUUAUUAGAAUGAUAAAACACGAAUAAUACUUUAUGUAUGACUAUUUUUUUAAUUUUUUAUAAAUUAUUUAAAUAAAACGGAUGUUCGAAAGUUAGAAAAAAAAAUUCACGACU
This 196-nucleotide microRNA precursor is filed under the name Oryza barthii. RNAcentral's name for it is "MIR812 microRNA precursor family". It matches the Rfam family "MIR812 microRNA precursor family". The record is from Rfam by way of RNAcentral. Lineage: Eukaryota; Viridiplantae; Streptophyta; Magnoliopsida; Poales; Poaceae.